Non-coding RNA from Pantherophis guttatus, 1204 nucleotides. NCBI's taxonomy places the organism in Eukaryota, Metazoa, Chordata, Lepidosauria, Squamata, Colubridae. The record is from RefSeq and is a predicted model, not a curated record.
AGGAAGAGGAGGAAGAACAGGAGAAGGACCUAGAACUGCUUCUGGGGUUACCCGAUGGAGGCGACAAGAAAAAGGAGGAAGAAAAGCACCUCCCCUCCCACAGGACAUAUUUGGGUCAUUCUGUCUCAUUUCAUUGCAUAGUGAGUCCAUUGCCAGUGUUGCAAGUUGGGCCAUGACCCACUGAAAACCUCUGGACAUCUUUUAUGAACAGACACACAGAGGAUCCAAUGAGUCUUUGAAUUAUGAAUUCAUCAAAAGCAUAUAAUGGACUUCUAAGACAUGAACGGGCAUGGAAUUUCUGGUGAAUGAAGCAACAUUUUUUAGACAAAUGGUUCCUAUUUUUGAUUGCCACCCCCACCCUCCUCUGCGAAGUGACUGAGUUGGUUCCGUUUCACUCACAAGAUAUUGAAUUUGAGGAGCUGCACAGCAAGGCUUUCACAGAAACCCUCGAUGGCAAACUUGGAGGCAGCAUAGACAUCAUUGAAAGGGAUACCUGGCAAAGAAGUAGAAGGGGUGUAAGUUUUCAAGACACAUUUUUACCUCAUUUGAAAGAAGUACGUCUGCUUUUAAAUUAUGUUUCUUUUAAAAUAAUGGAAAAUGUCAACCAUGCAACAUUGAAUAAAAACUAAUUAAAAAAGAACAAAAUGAGAAUUGCCUAGACAUUCCCCCAAAGAAGAGGAGAGAUCUGCUUCAGUUAAUUUAGUAGAUCACCUACCUAACACAUCCAGCUGUUUCUCAGGAAGGCUGUUAACGCAUUCAGCUACAGAUUCAUCACUACAGACAUCCAGGCGCUGAAUGGUGAGGGUCUGGUUGAGUGUGUCCCCCGCUGCUGCCUCCAGCUUGUCCUUUUUGCGCAGGUCACGCAUUGUGGCAAUGACUAGAAGGAAGAAAGAGCUUAAAUGCAAGUUGCUCAUUCUAUGGAUGGGGGAGGCUGAGACGUUAAAAAGUGGACGACAAGAAACUUUUAUACAAGGAAGGUUAGAAUUACUUAUUAAGAUAUCUAAAAUAACUUGAAGAACAUAGUAACAAUGAAGUGAAGGCGAUGAUGAAAAAAUUGUCCCAGUAUCCUUGCAUAUAUUAGUCAUUGCACUGGAAACCUGGAACAGGUUUAUCUUUGACUUGAAAACAUGCGUGGAAUGCAGCACUAGCAAUUUUCUUAGGUGUCCGUAGUUAUAUAGUCUAAACUAAAAAAAGUUGACUGAGA